Long non-coding RNA from Propithecus coquereli (Coquerel's sifaka), 1059 nucleotides. RefSeq lists it as uncharacterized. The transcript is spliced from 7 exons. Lineage: Eukaryota; Metazoa; Chordata; Mammalia; Primates; Indriidae. The record is from RefSeq and is a predicted model, not a curated record.
AUUCUCAAGCUGAUGGAGUGAGUGAUGGAGUAGGUUGCCAACUGUAGUUACUCCACUCAGCGCAGAAUGGCUGCAGGGAAUAUAUUCAGACAUGCCCAAAGAAGUCUGCCCAGGGUGAAACAAAUACCUUUGAGGUUUAAAUCAGAAAGGAAGGAGAGGCUGUUUCUACAGGUGUCUUUGAAAAAUCAAUACUGAGCCACGGAUUAUUGGAUCCCACAGAACCAUGGAGACUUGGCAGUGAAAUUCUUCCAAAGGCAGACGGUGUUCCUAGGUUUGGAAAUAUAAAUCCCACGGGAAGUCAGCUGAAGAACAUUUUAUGCAUCACUCAUCCUAUUAUGAGCCCUGUGCUGUUCCAUCUCUCUACAAGAUUGGUUGAAACAACAACAACAAAAGUUGUUUACAAUUUGUACUCUAACUUUGGAUCACCUAAUUAAUAUCCUGACCCUGAUUACACCCAAAGACAGUGUUCUAUAUAAAAAGACUCUCUAUUAGAAGAAUCCUAACAUGUUAUUAAUAAAAUCACAGGGAAAAUUAAACAUUUUGGAUAUCACAUCUGAUGAGUUGGCAGUUAAAGAACAGAAACAGAGCAAUAAGACUGCAUGGCUGCAUUUUCCCAGUGCCACCAACUGGGAGUUAAGCUGACUAACAUUUUGAAAGCCCAGCCCAUUUCGUUCACAGCAGGACGGCAGUGGGUGACUGAUCAUCCCCGCCAGCUGGCUAAUAUCAUAAUUAACAAAGUUGCUACUACGUCUGCAAAGUUUAAUCGAAAAAUUUGCCAGUGAUAUGAUGGCAUUGUCAUAGAGAUCACAAGGGACACGGAGCUGACUUUUGCUGAAGGUGGAACGGCAGAGCUGUGUAGGCAAGAUGAGAAAUUGCGAACUUGUUCAGCCAAAGGAGGCUAAUAAUGAAGGGGCCAGGGAAGGAGGCCAGUGCUGCAAGGGUUAUCUCACAACCUCAGAUGCUGGAUAAGUCGAAGGAGGCAGACUCGCUUUGGGAUGACAUUCAGAAAGGCUGGAGUGAUUAUUUGGAAGAGAAAAGCCUGCCUAUUCUUUCCAAGGU